GGCCGCAUCACGUUGAAACCCCGGUUCCCGUGCGAUCACCGAAGUUAAGCGACUUUGAGCCUGAUCAGCACUUAUAUGAGUGACCUCUUGGAAAUAUCUGCUGCAGUAA
Non-coding RNA from Acanthosepion pharaonis, 109 nucleotides. The record is from the annotation of a GenBank genome assembly. NCBI's taxonomy places the organism in Eukaryota, Metazoa, Mollusca, Cephalopoda, Sepiida, Sepiidae.